UAAUUUUGCGCGGUCUGAAAACUGAGUUACGGGAGGCCUUCUUCAGCAUAGUUCACAGACAGUGCGAGAACAUUUGAAGAUCACAUGGUUUCCAAGAAGAUCAAGAAAAAAUACUCCUCAUCAUCUUUGGAGGAACAGCAGGAGUGGGAAGAGUAUCUGAGGAGAAUGUGCACAUCUCAGACCAUGGAGAAGGAAGUCUGCUGUGCAAGUGAGACACAUUAUGGGGAUUCAGUGAAGGGAAAUAAAAAUAAAUCAAAG
This is a long non-coding RNA of Anguilla anguilla (European eel), 258 nucleotides long. RefSeq lists it as uncharacterized. NCBI's taxonomy places the organism in Eukaryota, Metazoa, Chordata, Actinopteri, Anguilliformes, Anguillidae. The transcript is spliced from 3 exons. The record is from RefSeq and is a predicted model, not a curated record.